GGGACGUAUCAAGCGAUUCAGGUCUCAGAUCAGCAUUUGGAGGGUAAAGGUGAAGCCGGAGGGCUGGUUAAUGUGGUUUCCACAGCCAGACUCACUGGAUCCCAGCAGACUGUAAUUGAAAACUCUUUCAGUAAUACAGGCAGUCCUGCUGGAGACGAGAGCAGGGAAGAGGCACGAUGUGGAUAUUUCCCAGCAUCCUCUGUGAGCGAGGGAUCGGCCAGCAUCGUGUCCUUGCAGACAGCAGCAGAUCACACAUUCCCACAAACAGCAGGCCAGUUUUAUGUGAUGAUGACUCCAUCAGAUGUUCUCCAUUCAGCCUCUCAGCGGACUUUAGCUCCACGCACACACACAUACACAGUGAAAACAGACAGUCCACGCACCCCUAGAGACGAGAGAAGACGAGCACAGCACAAUGAAGUGGAAAGGCGACGGCGAGACAAAAUCAACAACUGGAUUGAGACGCUCUCAAAAAUCAUUCCCGACUGCAGCUUCGAUGG
This is a non-coding RNA of Danio rerio (zebrafish), 497 nucleotides long. NCBI's taxonomy places the organism in Eukaryota, Metazoa, Chordata, Actinopteri, Cypriniformes, Danionidae. The record is from Ensembl.